Molecule: ribosomal RNA, 426 nt
Filed under: uncultured bacterium
Lineage: Bacteria
Description: SSU rRNA
Rfam family: Bacterial small subunit ribosomal RNA
Source: RNAcentral
CAAUGGGCGCAGCCUGAUGCAGCGACGCCGCGUGAGGGAUGGAGGCCUUCGGGUUGUAAACCUCUUUUAUCGGGGAGCAAGCGAGAGUGAGUUUACCCGUUGAAUAAGCUCCGGCUAACUACGUGCCAGCAGCCGCGGUAAUACGUAGGGAGCGAGCGUUGUCCGGAUUUACUGGGUGUAAAGGGUGCGUAGGCGGAUUGGCAAGUCAGAAGUGAAAUCCAUGGGCUUAACCCAUGAACUGCUUUUGAAACUGUUAGUCUUGAGUGAAGUAGAGGUAGGCGGAAUUCCCGGUGUAGCGGUGAAAUGCGUAGAGAUCGGGAGGAACACCAGUGGCGAAGGCGGCCUACUGGGCUUUAACUGACGCUGAGGCACGAAAGUGUGGGUAGCAAACAGGAUUAGAUACCCUGGUAGUCCAAGGGCGAAUUC